This 253-nucleotide ribosomal RNA is filed under the name uncultured bacterium. RNAcentral's name for it is "partial 16S ribosomal RNA". It matches the Rfam family "Bacterial small subunit ribosomal RNA", at positions 524 to 776 of the family's 1533-position model. The record is from RNAcentral.
UACGUAGGGGGCAAGCGUUGUCCGGAUUUAUUGGGCGUAAAGAGCGUGUAGGCGGCCUGCCAGGUCCGUUGUGAAAACUCGAGGCUCAACCUCGAGAUGUCGAUGGAAACCGUCUGGCUAGAGUCCGGAAGAGGAGUGUGGAAUUCCUGGUGUAGCGGUGAAAUGCGCAGAUAUCAGGAAGAACACCUAUGGCGAAGGCAGCACUCUGGGACGGUACUGACGCUGAGACGCGAAAGCGUGGGGAGCGAACAGG